AAUUUUUUUUUAAUCGAAUUAUGUUAUCAUUUAAUCAAUUAUACUCAAUUAUUGUUGGAAAUACGUCCAAAAAUAAAUACAUUUAUGUAUACUACUCAAUAGAACAAUAAUAAUUUUAUUCUAGUUUUCGGUUUGACAAUAUUUUAAAAAAACGGCUAAUUAUUCUCCUGUUUACAUUUUGUUAUCCGUGUCUAAACUUCAAUUUGAAACUAUACGCCACCACACUUUGUUGUUCUACGUAACUAACGUAAUAAUUUUACUAUGUAGCCCGUCGCAGUUAUAUAGACUGUAGACAGUAAAUGCGGGUGUGGCGUCCUUUAUAUAAUUAUUCGAAUAUAAACUUUACAACAAUACGCAUUUUGCGUUCAGAUUUACCGUCGCCAUAAUAUUAUUUGUAUAUGAACAGCGGCGUUUGAUUGAUAAAGUCAACGAUUAUUUUCCAUUGUAGCGUGUUUUUUAAAACAAAUAUUUUUUUAUCAUUCGUAUCGAUCUUAUGCGUUUUGAUAAAUUGUCCGGAAUUACCCGCGUUAUUACUUAUAUUCACGAUUGCAUUCUAAACGUACGCGUAUUAGUAUAGUAUGUGCGAUUGACAGUGCAGUCUCUAAACUACAAUAUCAUUAAUAUCGCGUUGGAGAAAUUAUUAUUAUAGUUUUUUUUUUUUUUGUAGACAAGUCUUUUAUAAUAAAUGAUUCGUGCGCUAUUUGUAUUAUUGAAACGCGCGUAAGCAAUAUUCGAAUUGGUUUGUGUUCUCGAAUAAUAAAAUAUCGUUACACCGAUAAAUAGGUAGGUUCUUUUAUUUAUUUUUCCCGUUUUUUCAAAAACAUAAUGCACACCUAUUUGAAAAACAAUAUGUUGGUUUAAUGUAGCUCGACCUUUUAUUUAAUGCGAUUAUAUUUGAAACUCUGUUUGAUCAGCAUUUUUUUCUAACAUUACAAUAUUAUGCUUUUGCGAUCGGUUUAAUUGAUUACAAUUUUUUUUUUGUUAUUCUAUACAAUUACGGUAAACACAAACGCUGUUUAAUUUCAAUGUUAACUAGUCCAUGUGACAAAAUGCUAAUCACAUGUAUAAUUAUUUAUCCGAUGAACCAUUCGCAACACUAUCCGAUAUCUAUACGUAUUGGAUUAACAUUAGAUAAUAAUGUAUCAACUGCAGGUACCUAUUUUUACAGAAUGUAAUACAUUAUUAUUAUGGUGUUUGGCAAAUAGUAUGUACAUUAUGUCCCUAUAUAGUCUACUAAGAUAACCUAUACAAUAUUAUACCUUGCAAAUUAAAAUUAAAAAUAUAGAUUAAGUUGUCGUAAAACCGUGUGUUGUUUUUUUAAUACUAUCUGCGCAAAGUGCUGUAGGGAAAAAAACAUACCAAUAAAAAUUGAAAGUGCACAAUAAAAUCCUAUAAGAAACCCUCACUAGCAACAGUGGACAAUGCCAUAAAAAGUGUAUUUAAAUCGUAUUGGCUGACAGAAACGAAAUUAAUCGAAUGAAUUGUUUUUUUAUUAAUAAUGUACAUAUGAAAACGGAAUACAUCAACGCACAUAACAAGUUACACAUAACACGCGUCCUACGAUGUUCAGACCGAUCAAAUAGAUAAUUCGUACAACAAUUAAAUAUUCUACACGGUUUUUUUCUAUAUACAUAUAUAAGCGUGUGGGCUAUCCUGCAACACCAUGCCUAACGCUGACGGUGCAUAAAUUAUUUAAAUGUGGGAGAAGUCGAAAAACUAUUAAAUGCGAAUUAUUACCAUUAUUACUAUUGAUUGUAAAAUCGACUUGUUCGCGACGGUAAUUAAAAAUUUUACCUGAAUAGCCGUUUAUUCGUGGGAGUCACAGAGGCGAUAUUCGUGUUCAUCAGAUUUUUCUCGUCCGAUUACCAAACGUUUGAACCUCGGAAAAAAACACCCGUACGCCAAAUACGCCGUCACUAGGGUAGAAUUUCCCUGCCUAUUUUUUAUUGUAAAAAUACAUUAUCUUCUAUGUAUAUUAAAAAACAUGUCCCUGACUGAUUGAUCAUCACCUAGGCUAAACUACUGGACGGAUCUGGUUGAAAUCUGGCAUACAGAUAGCCAUUAUAACGUCGGCAUCCACUAAGAGAGGAUUUUUGAAAAUUCAACCCCUAAGUGGGUAAAAUAGGAGUUUUUAGGUAUUAUUGGUACGAAUAUCUAAUUGUUUAUUUAUUUAUUUUUGUUUAUUCGUGGUAACCCACGUUACAUGGUUGACAGUUUGGUUGUCACGUACAAGAAAAAUAUUAUUAUUGUUAUUAUUAUUACUAUUAUCACUACACUAUUAUCCAGGAAUAGAGCAAAGCAUUGCCGGAGCAGCUAGUUCUUUAUAAAUCAAUAGUGAAUAAAUAACCGAAUACUAUAGUAUAGAGUCUAUACUUUAUUUAUACUACUGUAAAAGAAAACGAAAUUGAUAAAAUAUAUACGCUUCAAUGUUAGGGGUGGGGGUUUGUAUAUGUUUAAACUCCCAAAAAUCCAUACCGUUGAUACUGACGCCUGUGCAUACACAAAAUGUCUCCCC
Cinara cedri is the source of this 2515-nucleotide non-coding RNA. The record is from the annotation of a GenBank genome assembly. NCBI's taxonomy places the organism in Eukaryota, Metazoa, Arthropoda, Insecta, Hemiptera, Aphididae.